RNAcentral lists this ribosomal RNA (253 nucleotides) under uncultured bacterium. RNAcentral's name for it is "partial 16S ribosomal RNA". It matches the Rfam family "Bacterial small subunit ribosomal RNA", at positions 524 to 776 of the family's 1533-position model. The record is from RNAcentral.
UACGUAGGGCGCAAGCGUUGUCCGGAAUUAUUGGGCGUAAAGAGCUCGUAGGCGGUUUGUCGCGUCUGCCGUGAAAGUCCGGGGCUCAACUCCGGAUCUGCGGUGGGUACGGGCAGACUAGGGUGAUGUAGGGGAGACUGGAAUUCCUGGUGUAGCGGUGAAAUGCGCAGAUAUCAGGAGGAACACCGAUGGCGAAGGCAGGUCUCUGGGCAUUAACUGACGCUGAGGAGCGAAAGCAUGGGGAGCGAACAGG